GUCUCUCUCAUUCGCUGUGAUAUCCAAACUUGCCUCCAAUCGUUCUUCAUAAAUCAUCAUCUACAGGUGUUUCGCUUGUGUUUCUGCAGUUUUCUCCACCAACUUGUUCCUACUCUUGAGGUACCAUAUGUACAAUUUAGGGUUUCUUAUAUCAUAACAAGGCCCCUAACCCUAGUUUGUCGUUUGGUGUUUUCUCUUUAAAAAAAAUAACCAUCAACAAGUAGUGCAUUGCUGUUUGUUCCAAGAAUCCACUGUUAAUUUGAGGUACCAUAUAUUCAAUUUUAAGUUUAUUAUCCCAUAACAAUUUGUGUUAAUCUUUGAAAUUACAUUGACACGAUUUGUCCCUUGAUUUUUCUAGUGCUGAUAUCAUCGGGCGUGUGUAAUUACCAUCGAUUGCUUGCUGAAUAUUGCUGAAAAAAUUUAUAGCUUGGGUUGUAUUAAAGCCAUUUAGGGAUUUUUUGGGUUAAAGGGGAGGACGGUGCCCGACAACUUUUUUACCGGUUUUCGUUCUAAUUAGUGUAUGACAGUGUGAGUAUUUAUAUUUGAAUAAUUGUGAGUAUCUAUAUUUGAAUAAUUGGAGAGUUUGAUUAUCAUUUAGUAUUUUUAACUGUUGCCAUCGAUUCCUUUUUGACAUCAAUUCAUUUUCAGUUUUGAUUCACCUUGACUAGUCAUAUUGACAAUAAACAUGACCAGUACCUAGAAUUGAUUCUUGAUUUUUUUUGUCCAUUGACAUGUGCAUUAACCAGAUUUGACGAGCCCAAUUUUCUACAACUAUUUAAUGUAUUGAUAAAAUGUCUUUUCCAAAUAAUUGAAGUUAUCAGCUACUAGUAAUCAUCGUACGCAGCUAAAGUCGUCGACAACAGUGGCAUCGUCGUCGGCAUCAAAUGUUAUGGGAGCUAUGUUGUCAUUUACUUCGAGACUUAUAGGUGUGGUAAUAUAUCCUCUUACAAUGCUUGUGUUAGUUGUGACUUGUUAAUAUUUGAUGCUUAUAUUUAGUAACAGUAACAUACAAAAUACAUGGUUAUUUCAAAUGUGAUAAAUAAUAUAUCAAAUACUUAACUAAUUUUAAAGCAGUUGUUACAUAUAUUAUUGGACAAACAUAUUCAUGUUUACGAAUGAUUUGUGAAAAAAAAUAGGAAAAAACUAUUCAUUACCUCAUCUUAUGGUAGUAAAGUUAAAGAGGAUUAUUUUGAUUAUUUAUGUCAGUUCUUUUAUGAUAUUUAAAACAUACUAUAUUAAAAAAAUGUUACAAAGUUGGUUUACUUGUUAUACUUAUGAAAACAAUAUAACUUGAUUCAUCAUUAUUUUAGUGGGGAAUAUCAUGUUAUCUUUUUUAUUCGAUAUCACGUAAAUUACUAAUACGGUGGAGGAGCUAGAUAUUUUGAUCUUGAGUUGGAAAUUGUUACUGUGGAUUUUUGUUUGCUGACCACCAAAUUGAAUAUAAUUUAUCAGGGAUAUAAAGUAUGAUGAAUGAAUGAGAAGAAAAUUAUGCUAAUAAUCCACAGGGCCAAGUAUGUCUUUUGUGGUGGUGAAUGGAUAUAAAUUACGUGAAAUCCGUCACACAAUGUGCACAAAAAAAUACUUGUCGCAACACGCGGGCAUUCCCACUAGUAUAUAUAAAAGAACACUAUCAUAAUAGGUUCCUUAUUAGUAGUC
Molecule: long non-coding RNA, 1656 nt
Filed under: Helianthus annuus (common sunflower)
Lineage: Eukaryota; Viridiplantae; Streptophyta; Magnoliopsida; Asterales; Asteraceae
Description: hypothetical non coding rna
Source: RNAcentral